RNAcentral lists this ribosomal RNA (506 nucleotides) under uncultured bacterium. RNAcentral's name for it is "partial 16S ribosomal RNA". It matches the Rfam family "Bacterial small subunit ribosomal RNA", at positions 28 to 507 of the family's 1533-position model. The record is from RNAcentral.
GACGAACGCUGGCGGCGUGCUUAACACAUGCAAGUCGAACGGUGAAGGGACUGGUUUUGCUGGUCCUGGAUGAGUGGCGAACGGGUGAGUAACACGUGAGUAACCUGCCCCCUUCUUCUGGAUAACCGCAUGAAAGUGUGGCUAAUACGGGAUAUUCUGGGUCUGUCGCAUGGUGGGCCUGGGAAAGAUUGCGCCUUUUUUGGUGUUUUUGGUGGGGGAUGGGCUCGCGGCCUAUCAGCUUGUUGGUGGGGUGAUGGCCUACCAAGGCGGUGACGGGUAGCCGGCCUGAGAGGGUGGACGGUCACACUGGGACUGAGACACGGCCCAGACUCCUACGGGAGGCAGCAGUGGGGAAUAUUGCACAAUGGGCGCAAGCCUGAUGCAGCGACGCCGCGUGAGGGAUGGAGGCCUUUGGGUUGUGAACCUCUUUCGCCAGUGAAGCAGGCCUGCCUCUUUUUGUGGGUGGGUUGACGGUAGCUGGAUAAGAAGCGCCGGCUAACUACGUG